This 72-nucleotide transfer RNA is filed under the name Camelus bactrianus (Bactrian camel). It matches the Rfam family "tRNA". Rfam says of the family: Transfer RNA (tRNA) molecules are approximately 80 nucleotides in length. Their secondary structure includes four short double-helical elements and three loops (D, anti-codon, and T loops). RNAcentral also lists the same sequence under 1 other name. Lineage: Eukaryota; Metazoa; Chordata; Mammalia; Artiodactyla; Camelidae. The record is from Rfam by way of RNAcentral.
GAGGGUAUAGCUCAGUGGAAGAGUGCCUGCCUAGCAUGCACAAAGUCCUGGGUUCAAUCCCCAGUACCUCCA